RNAcentral lists this transfer RNA (57 nucleotides) under Loxodonta africana (African savanna elephant). It matches the Rfam family "tRNA", at positions 8 to 63 of the family's 71-position model. From Rfam's summary of the family: Transfer RNA (tRNA) molecules are approximately 80 nucleotides in length. Their secondary structure includes four short double-helical elements and three loops (D, anti-codon, and T loops). The record is from Rfam by way of RNAcentral. Lineage: Eukaryota; Metazoa; Chordata; Mammalia; Proboscidea; Elephantidae.
UAGCAGAGUGGUUAAGUGUUCAGCUACUAACUGAAAAGUUGGUGGUUCGAACCCACC